This 345-nucleotide ribosomal RNA is filed under the name uncultured archaeon. RNAcentral describes it as "bacterial SSU rRNA". It matches the Rfam family "Archaeal small subunit ribosomal RNA", at positions 691 to 1036 of the family's 1478-position model. The record is from RNAcentral.
CCGACGGUGAGGGAUGAAAGCUGGGGGGCAAACCGGAUUAGAUACCCGGGUAGUCCCAGCCGUAAACGAUGUGCGUUAGGUGUAUCGGUGACCACGAGUCACCGAGGUGCCGAAGAGAAAUCGUGAAACGUACCGCCUGGGAAGUACGGUCGCAAGGCUGAAACUUAAAGGAAUUGGCGGGGGAGCACCACAACAGGUGGAGCCUGCGGUUUAAUCGGACUCAACGCCGGGAAACUCACCAGAUAAGACAGCUGAAUGAUAGUCGGGCUGAAGACUCUACUUGACUAGCUGAGAGGAGGUGCAUGGCCGUCGUCAGUUCGUACUGUGAAGCAUCCUGUUAAGUCA